CGACAAGGCAAGAGGGCAUCAGGCACCUAAAUGCAGAUAAGGGCAAUUAAAAGUAUGAUUAGACAGAAAGCGAGAGCCUUUGAGAUGUGGGCCAAACCUUAGGGGUAACCACAUGGAGUCUGGCUGCAAAUAGUGAAGUUAAGACAGACAUUCCUGCUAAUGCUGGAAUGUAAAUUAAACUCCUGUGUGGUUUGUGAAUCAUGGGUUAGUGACUUUCCUGGGAUCUCAUUGGAAGAGCAAAUGUAGAUCCUCUAAUGCCUUGCAGGUGUAUGAAGGGCAGCUUCCUGGAAACUCAGUGGAGAAGAGGCCCCUGGUCUUCUUGAAGAGGAGUCCAAGGUUUCAGCCAAGUGUGAUGGAUCCAUAAAUCAAUUCCCACCAUGUUAACUGUCGUUGGGGCGGACAGAAUGACUGAAAGUGGUCCUUCCCAAGAUGGACCUAGAGAGGAAGAGUUGGAGGGGAGAGACUUGACAAGUACUAAAUCUCCAGGGAAGAAUAACUAUUUCGCCUUUUCCCUAGUGUGUCCUUCAGGUGGCCUGGAUUCUCCACUCUGAAGAGGGUAUUGUGGCCAGGCCAUGCUGCAGAAGAAAAUAAGCCACUUCUUCAAAGAUUGUGGAUCAAAUUGGUCCCAAUUAUCCAGCAUACACUUUAAGAGUGACUCUGUUUAGGGAAGAGUAGCAUUCAUCUAAAAUUGAACACAGAAAUACCCACAUCCCUGGUUAUUUCCGGUAAUUACCAACCCUGGGGCAUCCCCCAGUGGCAUAGCACUCUAAUUUUUCUGCGCCCUAAAUGCAUGAUUAUCUCGUGGGCCUUCCCAAUUUGCCAAGUUUAAUCACACUAUGGAGUAAUGGGCGUAUCCUCACUGUCUAAUAUCCAUUUUUGGCUACCUUAAAGGACAUGGGGACUGCUGGGUUUAGUGGCCUUGUACCAGAGUGUACUUGAAGAACUAGGCCAGUGAGACUUGGGCAACAGACACUAUUUAUGUUCCCUAGCAAGGGUCCAAUUAACAUAGGCUUGACCAUAAAACUACCCCAGGAGGAAAAAUUCUUUGAGAAGGGUCUCUAAAGGUAACAGUCUUAAAGAAGGUAAUGGCUGGCCACAGGGCCAAGGCCGGGACAAUGCCUUCCUGACCAGAGCCUUUUCUCUCUACAUUCCAUCAUAGGAGUAUGACCUAUCGCUUUGGGCCCUGUAAUUAACUGUUUGAGUCUUGGA
RNAcentral lists this long non-coding RNA (1209 nucleotides) under Callithrix jacchus (white-tufted-ear marmoset). Its description in RNAcentral is "lncRNA (ENSCJAG00000052233.2)". Lineage: Eukaryota; Metazoa; Chordata; Mammalia; Primates; Cebidae. The record is from RNAcentral.